RNAcentral lists this transfer RNA (73 nucleotides) under Raja polystigma (speckled ray). Its description in RNAcentral is "tRNA-Val". It matches the Rfam family "tRNA". Rfam says of the family: Transfer RNA (tRNA) molecules are approximately 80 nucleotides in length. The record is from RNAcentral. Lineage: Eukaryota; Metazoa; Chordata; Chondrichthyes; Rajiformes; Rajidae.
UCAAAAUAUAGCUAAAUUAGUAAAGCACCUCCCUUACACCGAGGAAAUACCCGUGCAACUCGAGUUAUAUUGA